RNAcentral lists this long non-coding RNA (214 nucleotides) under Homo sapiens (human). Its description in RNAcentral is "HSALNT0174922". The record is from RNAcentral. Lineage: Eukaryota; Metazoa; Chordata; Mammalia; Primates; Hominidae.
UAGGAAGACUGCUUUGGUGUUCUUUCUGGAAAAAGAAGGUCAGCCCAAAGAAGAUUUGAACUCUGUCUGAAAACCUGGGAGUUCUAUUUCUUCACUGAGGCAGGAAGGUAAAUAUUAGAAUUCAUCAAGUCUUCUUUUUCUAAUUCUUAUUGGGCUGGAAUAAAUGAAAACCUGGCUUGUACCAACAAAGUGCUUAAGUAAGUAGAGAAGACAU